Talpa occidentalis (Iberian mole) is the source of this 1923-nucleotide long non-coding RNA. RefSeq lists it as uncharacterized. Lineage: Eukaryota; Metazoa; Chordata; Mammalia; Eulipotyphla; Talpidae. The record is from RefSeq and is a predicted model, not a curated record. The transcript has 3 exons.
AACCCUCCAUGUACAGCAGGGAGAGGAUCUCAUGUCAAACCCAAGCUGGUGUCCCCAAGUCUCUACCCAAUAUUGUGUUCAGGAUGAAUCUCCUUGUAUUCAUGGCCACACUGGAGAACACAGAAAGGUACCAUUGAAGGUUUAUGAGACCAUGCAGGUCUCUAAAUGGACCAAUCUGAUUGGAGCUCCACUGGCACCAACCAAAGAGCUGGGAUUAUAAAGGGACCCCUCAGGCUUGAAAGGUGGCACCCUGAAGAGGAUACAAGCCAGAGCGGGAGCCAGCUUGAGCCACUUGAUAGACGGCUGCAGGUCAGAUUUCUUUCCUGUCUGCCUCCCCAACUACAGAAUGAGCACCGUGAGGGCUGGAGCUAUCUGGCUGGCUGUCUAGUUCCCCAGCACCUGCAACAACAGCCAGCACGGGGCAGGUGCUCGACAAAAGGAGUUCCUCAGGAGUUGGGGUUCCCCAUUCCAGCCACUAUCCUUCCUGCCUCGGGCUGGGAGUGCCAGUUUUGCCAUUGCCAAGGGAGAGAAACACUGUCCCCCCGAAACAGGGGGACACAGUGCACCGGCAGUUAAGAACAUGAUGUGGGUUUGCCUCCAUGAACACUGGCUGUGUGAAGGCAGCAAGUUGCUUAACUGCGCGGAGUCUGCCUUCUCCUCCAUGGAAAGGGGAUAAGAAUAGAACAGACUUGAUAGCAUUGCUGGGGGCAUCUGGCAUGCAGUAAGAGGUGAAUAAAUGCUGGCCAAUAUAUUUGAUAGAAGCGAUGCUCACAGCCUAUCUGCCUGCCCCAGAGAAAAUGACAAAGCCUUGGCACAGAGGCUGACAAGCACUCCUGUCCCCGGUGGCAGUCCAUACUCCGCUCUGCCCUUCCUGGUGAGUGCCAGAUGUGCAGAAGCUGGAAACUCACAUUCUUGUGCAGGAAACAGAGAUACUUGUGGCCCAGGGAGCCCUGAGGUCAGCUCUGGAUCUUGCCUGGGUCGAGGGUGGACAGUGAGAUCCGGGGACAUUCCCUGUAGACAGAAGGCGGCACUCAGGUAUUGGGAGGGGGCAGCAGAAGCAGACAAAAGGUCCAGCUAGAGCAAGGCUGUGAGAGGUGCAGGAGCAGCAAGGGAGCCCAAGCCUUAAUGGGAUGCCUGUUACUGGCAGGCCGGCAGCAGGAACUGAGCAGAAGAGCAUGAGCUAAGGACAUGGCUCCUGCUUGCAGGGCAUGUGGGCAGGGUAGUCAGAGGGCACUGCCAUGGGGGUGGGGGAUACAGCUAGUACAUGUUAUAGGAGCUCAGUGAAGGCACAGAGCUCUGUGGAGGCCACCACAUGGCACUACCCAGGGAUUGUCAUGCUGUCUAUAUGAAUGGCACCAGUGGAGUCGGGCAGUGCCCAGACUGUGCAGCACCAUGAUCAAAGUAUCAGGAUGAGCUCCCCAGAGAAAACAGUCUGAUACAAUAUGAAUCCAGAGAGAGCAGGAUCCCCAGAGAAUGCCCUCAAGCCCCAGGCAGGGCUGGCACCUACUGCAGUAUCUGGGCACCCUCUGGAUCCCUCCUCAUCAGGUAUCUGAGGAGCUUCAGGGCAUGGAGUCCUUAGGUCUCUGUAGGGUAAGGAAAAAUAUCAGGCUUUUCUGCCCUCCUGCCAUCAGGAUAGAUGAUGGAUCUUUGAGGUCCUGAGUGCAUGCCUGAUGGCGGGCACCUGGAGUGGGGUGUGGGCAUGGGUAGAUGUGAUUCACCUGGGCUAAGACUAGGAUUUUAGGGGCAGGGACGCCAGCAGCAGCAGCAGAAGCCGAAAGAGGAAAAGCCCAAAGCAGAAGCAGAGAACGCCAGAGAGCCCAGAUAGAGUGAAGAUUUUCUGGGGGCUGAGAGGACUGCCAGCCUCCCAGCCCCCCAGCACCCCUGCCUGCCACGUACCCGCUGAACCCCAAUAAAAACCUGCAA